UCCGCUGUAGCUCAUUGGUUAAUACUUGAGUUUAGUAUCCGGGUUCGAAUCCCGGCAGCGGAA
RNAcentral lists this transfer RNA (63 nucleotides) under Morus notabilis. It matches the Rfam family "tRNA". From Rfam's summary of the family: Transfer RNA (tRNA) molecules are approximately 80 nucleotides in length. Their secondary structure includes four short double-helical elements and three loops (D, anti-codon, and T loops). The record is from Rfam by way of RNAcentral. Lineage: Eukaryota; Viridiplantae; Streptophyta; Magnoliopsida; Rosales; Moraceae.